Long non-coding RNA from Lucilia sericata (common green bottle fly), 649 nucleotides. RefSeq lists it as uncharacterized. The transcript has 2 exons. The record is from RefSeq and is a predicted model, not a curated record. Lineage: Eukaryota; Metazoa; Arthropoda; Insecta; Diptera; Calliphoridae.
ACUUUUUUCAAAAAUAUUUGAUUUAGUUCAUUAGAAACGCUUUAAUAAUAUUAUUUAUUAAAUUUAAAUUUUAUGUUUGUACUGAAAGCAUAAAUUUGCAUGCACAAAUCUAAUUUAAGACCAAUUCACAGUCUCCCGCCUUUUCCAUCAACUUUGUGAAUGAAUAAUUAAAAUGUAGUGAAAAUUUAACUAAACCCCGAUUGCUGUCAAGUUUUGCAAAGCUUCAAUAAAUUUAUUAUUUUAUAGUGUUUUUUAACAUUUCUUAAAAAUGUGGAAAGAUUUAUAUAUAUUCAGCUAUUGAAAAUGAUUUUAACUAAUUAAAAGCAAGAACUUAAGACUUACAGAAAUGCAAUGUCCCAGGCUUUAAGAAAUGGUAUUAAAGAAGACAUAAGGGAUCAAGCAGAAGUUUCAUUUGGUUCCAUCCAACCUUCACUAUCGUCAUCACUGUCCGAGUCUUCGGAUUCGGAAAGUUCUAUUGCAACACGUCUAGCUAGAAUGGAGGCCACAUCAUGAAGGCCAGUAUUACGUUCGAUUUCUUUCUGUUCGGAUUUUUCCACUUUGCGAAGUGUUAUUCCUGGGGGAUUUGAGAAAAAAGAGAAAUUAUUAUUUAUGGUUCAAAAAUAUUAAUAAAAUAACUUAAAAAAUAGAA